RNAcentral lists this ribosomal RNA (465 nucleotides) under uncultured bacterium. RNAcentral's name for it is "bacterial SSU rRNA". It matches the Rfam family "Bacterial small subunit ribosomal RNA", at positions 338 to 795 of the family's 1533-position model. The record is from RNAcentral.
CCUACGGGUGGCACCAGUGGGGAAUAUUGCACAAUGGGCGCAAGCCUGAUGCAGCCAUGCCGCGUGUAUGAAGAAGGCCUUUGGGUUGUAAAGUACUUUCAGCGGGGAGGAAGGGGUUGUGGUUAAUAACCGCAGCUAUUGACGUUACCCGCAGAAGAAGCACCGGCUAACUCCGUGCCAGCAGCCGCGGUAAUACGGAGGGUGCAAGCGUUAAUCGGAGUUACUGGGCGUAAAGCGCACGCAGGCGGUCUGUCAAGUCGGAUGUGAAAUCCCCGGGCUCAACCUGGGAACUGCAUUCGGAACUGGCAGGCUAGAGUCUUGUAGAGGGGGGUAGAAUUCCAGGUGUAGCGGUGAAAUGCGUAGAGAUCUGGAGGAAUACCGGUGGCGAAGGCGGCCCCCUGGACAAAGACUGACGCUCAGGUGCGAAAGCGUGGGGAGCAAACAGGAUUAGAUACCCCAGUAGUC